AGGUCUAAAUCUGAUGGUAAUAUUGCUCUUUGAAGAGAAAAUCAUGGGGCUGAUGAUUGCUAAUGGCUCAUUAGCCAAAUUGCUAAUUACCAUCAGCUAUGAAUCUCAUGAUAUACGCCUGUCCUACGUUCUCCUUUAGAGGCACCAUAAUGAGACUACUACUUAUUCAUCUGACAUUACAUAGAAUAGAGUCAUGACACGGACAUCAUGAGCGAAGAGAAGUCUGGCCUCACUAAGCCUGGCGACUGUGCAGAACAACAGAGAACUUGUUACUAGGAGGAGCUUGGCAAAGAUUUGCAUGGCACCAUAAUGAGGCUACUACUUAUUCAUUUGACAUUACAUAAAAUAGAGUCAUGACACCGACAUUAUCAGCCAAGAGAAGUCUGGCCUCACUAAGCCAGGCGACUGUGCAGAACAACAGAGAACUUGCUACUAUGAGGAGCUUGG
RNAcentral lists this long non-coding RNA (447 nucleotides) under Nicotiana benthamiana. RNAcentral describes it as "long non-coding RNA (NBEN_LNC011636)". Lineage: Eukaryota; Viridiplantae; Streptophyta; Magnoliopsida; Solanales; Solanaceae. The record is from RNAcentral.